CUGGUCCCUUUGCUAAGUUCUAAAUGGCGACAUAGCUUAGCAACCGGGCGUGGUACCUUGGCUAAUUUCUAAAUGGGGACAUAGCUUAGCAACUGGGUCUGGUCCCUUUGCUAAUUUUCUAAAUGGCGACAUAGCUUAGCAAUUGGGUAUGGCGCUUUGCUGUUUAAUAUGUCAUGGCGACUUAGCUUAGCUACUCGUUCUGGGUACAGCUAACUGCUACGGGUGCAGCUAGAGUCACUGGCGACAGUGGCUAAGGUCAAAAUAGCGCGGUAUGGUGUAAUAACCUGGCCUCGCCCUGUGUUUAUUUUGGAAGAGCAGCAGAACUAGCCACUAAAUGUGCAUGGCGGCGGUGCUAAUGUCAACUUAUGGAGGAACAUCUAUGGAGGCAUAGUUUGUACCCGGGUGGAUGUAGUUGGGAUUCGGUCUGGGGCCUGGGAUUUUUGGUUACUUGGAGUGGUGAAAUUUCGGAGAAAUGUCACUUUGGUGGUCAGGUCCUGAAUGGACAGGUCCACGUGAUUCGGACCUGAAUCCAAGUAACUCAAAUCCGGAGAUCAUUAGCUGACCACGUCUGCACCUAACCAUCCACACGGGUAAGUAUGGUGACGACAGAUAUUAAAUGAGGUUACAUAGUAACCAAGGUUAAUAUCAUAGGAGCCGCGCGCAGUCUGGGUACGACAUGUGCCCUCAGGAUGUCGGAUGUAGAGAGUGCCAAGCAGACUCUCAGGUCAUUAGCUAAUUCGUAGCCAACUGCAAUGGUUAUCUGCUCAGAGAAGAAGCAAUUUUUUUUUUUUUUCAUGACUACAAUUGAUUUUCAAUUUAAUUUCCAUCGAACUAAGUUCGGUGUGAUAAGGUGCAGACGUUCGGUGGUCAGGUCCUGAAUGGACAGGUCCACGUGAUUCGGACCUGAAUCCAAGUAACUCAAAUCCGGAGAUCAUUAGCUGACCACGUCUGCACCUAACCAUCCACACGGGUAAGUAUGGUGACGACAGAUAUUAAAGGUAUGGUACAUUGCGGCCAUUCAUUUGAUAUCGAUCGAUGUCAUCAUCCUCCCUCCCAUGGUGCCAAUGAGUAUAAAAAAUUGGCUUUGUUAGCCUGGUUUGCGCCGAUAAUAUUAUAUAUCGCAUUCGCAUGUGCCGUGUAUGCAUAGACCUUUCACGAGCAUCGUUAAUAAUAUUCAUAUCGUGGCUAGUUACCUUUCUUUGAAUCUAAGACUAAGAUUAUAUAUAGGCAAUAUAUUGAACAACGCGUCGACACUUUACU
Paramuricea clavata is the source of this 1260-nucleotide non-coding RNA. The record is from the annotation of a GenBank genome assembly. Lineage: Eukaryota; Metazoa; Cnidaria; Anthozoa; Malacalcyonacea; Plexauridae.